Molecule: ribosomal RNA, 308 nt
Filed under: uncultured bacterium
Lineage: Bacteria
Description: partial 16S ribosomal RNA
Rfam family: Bacterial small subunit ribosomal RNA
Source: RNAcentral
GAGACAGCAGCCGCCGCGGUAAUACAGAGGGUGCGAGCGUUAAUCGGAUUUACUGGGCGUAAAGCGUGCGUAGGCGGCUAAUUGAGUCGGAUGUGAAAUCCCCGAGCUUAACUUGGGAAUUGCAUUCGAUACUGGUUAGCUAGAGUGUGGGAGAGGAUGGUAGAAUUCCAGGUGUAGCGGUGAAAUGCGUAGAGAUCUGGAGGAAUACCGAUGGCGAAGGCAGCCAUCUGGCCUAAUACUGACGCUGAGGUACGAAAGCAUGGGGAGCAAACAGGAUUAGAUACCCCAGUAGUCCCUGUCUCUUAUAC